Molecule: ribosomal RNA, 254 nt
Filed under: uncultured bacterium
Lineage: Bacteria
Description: partial 16S ribosomal RNA
Rfam family: Bacterial small subunit ribosomal RNA
Source: RNAcentral
GACGAACCGUGCGAACGUUAUUCGGAAUCACUGGGCUUAAAGGGCGCGUAGACGGGCGACCGCGUCGAUGGCUGAAAGCCCCCGGCUCAACCGGGGAACGGGCCUCGAUACGGGUCGCCUCGAGUGGAGGAGGGGGACCUGGAACUGCCGGUGGAGCGGUGAAAUGCGUUGAGAUCGGCAGGAACGCCUGUGGCGAAAGCGGGGUCCUGGACUCUUACUGACGUUGAGGCGCGAAAGCCAGGGGAGCGAACGGG